UUGGGCUUAAGCCUGGUGAUCUAAACCCAUUAUCCUAGUUUGUUAUCUUAAUAGGUCCAAGUCCAACCCGAAAACGGUUCGAAUCGUAAAAUGACGAAUCACUAACCUAGAAAUUCCAAAAUGCAAAUUAAUAACCUUGCGUUUGAGGCCAUUGCAAUUUUUCACUCAUCAUCUUUGGCUUAGGUUUUUCUUUUCUUUUUUUGUUUAACCAUGGUAGUUUUGUGUCUUCUGUCCAUAAUCCGUGAAUCCAGCAUGAACGUUGUCCGGUUCGAUGAGUGAAAAAUAAACAAGAUUUUGAGUUAACCGGUUUGGUUGAAUUACUGGAUCAUUGGUAAGUGGUAACCAUAAAAGGAGAUGGUUUUUUAGUGUUAGUACGAGUUAAAACCAACGCAAAAGAUGAUGGUGAUAAUAGAAUCCAUUAUUUCGGUCUUCAACGGUUAAAAUACAAGAGAAGUGAUGUAAAGUGAGUAUAAUGAGUCAUGACUCGUGUUAAUUAAAAGGUUAAAAAGUAUAAGUUGGACCUACUUCUUUUGAUGUGGUAAUAAUUAUUGCUUUAUAGCUUUUUUCCUCAUCUCAUGCAUUUCUAGAAUAAAGCACAUCUUAUUCUCAUGGUCGUAGAUUGCUAGCAAAUAGGUUUAAUCUUGGUUUUUAUUUGGUACAUAUGCUGCCAGUGCCAGGGAUGAUUAUUUUAGUCUUAACCGGAUAAAUCCGUUAUGGUGUGAUCGGGUUUUGGUGUUUUGGCUGAAAAUGGAGACCAAGGCUUGUUUGCCACUGAACCGGAAAUGAGAAUCACGACUGCCACUUUAGAGUCUCAAUGCCAUCCAUAUAGUGGAUAAUACUAUUAUACCCUUAGUUGGUUAUAUGUGGUUUAAGUCUGGUUAAGACAUCAGCUGGUUUGUUUGAAGAGUGAAGAAUAAGACAAUUCAAAGACUCUUUUUGGUUUAGAGAGUUCUCUUCUUCUUCUUCUUCUCUUUUGACCCGAAACUUUCUCUUCUUCCUGUGAAAGCUUAAGCUCUGAUUCUCGUUGUUGCUCUUGAGUGUAACAAUGAUCUUUCAUAAUGGUUUUCUGGAUAGAAUCUCUCCCUAGACGUAGAUCUCUUCACAUCGACGAAUUGAACUAGAAGCUGUUCGACAGAUUGCCCAAGAGAGAUAUCAAUCUGCUAAUGCAUACAAGGUGUUUGAUAAAAUGCUUGAGAGAGAUCUUGUGGCUUGAAAUUUUGUGAUUAAUGGUGUUGCAGAAAACGGUAAACUAAACGAAGUUUUGGCGCUUUAUACUUAAAUGGAUUAUAAGGGUAUCAAGUCUAAUGGGUUCACAAUCGUUAGCUUGUUGUCUACUUGUGAAAAGUUUGGUGCUUUGAUAGUAAGUAAGAGAGUUUAUGUAUAUAUUAUGAUCAAAGUGGGUUUGACACGAACUUACAUUCCAACAAUGUACUUUUGAACUUGUAUGUCAGAUGUAGAAGAGUCGAAGAAGCCAAAACACUUAAGCGAUUGAGCUUUUUAGGAAUAUGGAAUUAGGUUCGACUGAGUACAACUAAGACCAUAAAUGUAUAUGUAUUUCUAUACAACAAAUAUGAAAAUGAUAAAUUAGAGUUAAUAAA
Long non-coding RNA from Arabidopsis lyrata subsp. lyrata, 1598 nucleotides. RefSeq lists it as uncharacterized. NCBI's taxonomy places the organism in Eukaryota, Viridiplantae, Streptophyta, Magnoliopsida, Brassicales, Brassicaceae. The transcript is spliced from 2 exons. The record is from RefSeq and is a predicted model, not a curated record.